UACGUAGGGGUCUAGCGUUGUUCGGAAUUACUGGGCGUAAAGGGCGCGUAGGCGGCCUGCUAAGUCGAACGUGAAAUCCCUGGGCUCAACCCAGGAACUGCGUCCGAUACUGGUUGGCUUGAAUCCGGGAGAGGGAUGUGGAAUUCCAGGUGUAGCGGUGAAAUGCGUAGAUAUCUGGAGGAACACCGGUGGCGAAGGCGACAUCCUGGACCGGUAUUGACGCUGAGGCGCGAAAGCCAGGGGAGCAAACGGG
RNAcentral lists this ribosomal RNA (253 nucleotides) under uncultured bacterium. RNAcentral describes it as "partial 16S ribosomal RNA". It matches the Rfam family "Bacterial small subunit ribosomal RNA", at positions 524 to 776 of the family's 1533-position model. The record is from RNAcentral.